This 408-nucleotide ribosomal RNA is filed under the name uncultured bacterium. Its description in RNAcentral is "partial 16S ribosomal RNA". It matches the Rfam family "Bacterial small subunit ribosomal RNA", at positions 28 to 526 of the family's 1533-position model. The record is from RNAcentral.
GACGAACGCUGGCGGCGUGCUUAACACAUGCAAGUCGAACGAAGUGGCGAACGGGUGAGUAACGCGUAAUCAACCUGCCCUUCAGCGGGGGACAACAGUUGGAAACGACUGCUAAUACCGCCUACCGAAGUCGGGGAUUGCGUUUGAUUAGCUAGUUGGGGGGGUAACGGCCCACCAAGGCGAUGAUCAGUAGCCGGUCUGAGAGGAUUAACGGCCACAGUGGGACUGAGACACGGCCCAGACUCCUACGGGAGGCAGCAGUGGGGAAUCUUCCGCAAUGGACGAAAGUCUGACGGCGCAACGCCGCGUGAGUGAUGACGGCCUUCGGGUUGUAAAGCUCUGUUAAUCGGGACGCGGUACCGGAAUAGAAAGCCACGGCUAACUACGUGCCAGCAGCCGCGGUAAUAC